AAUGAGAAGAGACACAGAGAGGCUCGUGAAAGAGAAGAAAAUGAGAAGAGGCACAAAGAGGCUCGUGAAAGAGAAGAAAAUGAGAAGAGACAGAGAGAAGCUGGUGAAAGGGAAGAAAAUGAGAAGAGACACAGAGAGGCUUGUGAAAGAGAAGAAAAUGAGAAGAGACAGAGAGAAGCUCGCGAAAGGGAAGAAAAUGAGAAGAGAAAGAGAGAAGCUAGCGAAAGGGAAGAAGGCGAGAAGAGAAAGAGAGACGCCCGUGAAAGAGAAGAAAAUGAGAAGAGACAGAGAGAAGCUCGGGAAAGAGAAGAAAAUGAGAAGAGACAGAGAGAAGCUCGGGAAAGAGAAGAAAAUGAGAAGAGACUGAGAGAAGCUCAUGAAAGAGAAGAAACUGAGAAUAGACAGAGAGAAGCUCAUGAAAGAGAAGAAACUGAGAAGAGAAUAAAAGAGGUUCUGGAAAAGGAAGAGAAUGAAAGGAGGAUGAAAGAGA
RNAcentral lists this long non-coding RNA (490 nucleotides) under Manihot esculenta (cassava). RNAcentral describes it as "long non-coding RNA (MESC_LNC000539)". The record is from RNAcentral. Lineage: Eukaryota; Viridiplantae; Streptophyta; Magnoliopsida; Malpighiales; Euphorbiaceae.